RNAcentral lists this ribosomal RNA (1695 nucleotides) under Triticum aestivum (bread wheat). RNAcentral describes it as "partial small subunit ribosomal RNA". Lineage: Eukaryota; Viridiplantae; Streptophyta; Magnoliopsida; Poales; Poaceae. The record is from RNAcentral.
AUGGAAGACUUGAAGGAGGCAGAUUUGUGUGCUACACUUGUUGUAAAAGGAGAAGAGCACCUGAUUGUUGAAAUUCUAGCAAAGGUACGUGGUUUAUUGGCAGAAUUUCAGAACAUACUUGGAGAGCCACAAGGCUUGCCACCGAUGAGAGGAAUUCAACAUAGAAUUGACUUAAUUCUAGGAGCAAAUCUUCCUAAUCUUCCACACUAUCAAAUGAUCCCAAAGGAGCAUGAUAUAUUGAAGGAGAAAGUGGAGGAAUUGCUGCAAAAGGGGCACAUUCGAGAAAGUAUCAGCCCAUGUGCUAUACCAACCCUGCUCGCUUCUAAGAAAGAUGGAUCUUGGCGCAUGUGUACGGACAGUAGAGCCGUUAACAAGGUCAUCGUAAGGUAUAGAUUCCCUAUUCCCCGUCUGGAUGAUAUGUUGGAUCAGCUUAGUGUAGCAAGAGUGUUCACAAAGCUAGAUCUAAGAGGUGGAUAUCAUCAAAUCCGUAUAAGACCCGGGGAUGAAUGGAAGACCGCCUUCAAGACAAAGGAAGGGUUGUUUGAAUGGCUAGUCAUGCCAUUUGGAAUCUCAAAUGCACCAAGUACCUUUAUGCACUUAAUGAAUCAAGUGCUUAGACCCUUCUUAUCCCACUUUGUUGUGGUCUAUUUCGAUGACAUCUUGAUCUAUAGCAAGGAUGAGGAUGGACACUUUGAUCACAUUCGGAAGGUGCUAGAAGUACUAAGGGAAAAUGAGCUCUACGUCAACUUGAAGAAAUGUGUUUUCCUGCAAACACAACUUUGUUUCCUAGGAUUCGUCAUAACAUGUGACGACAUUCGUGUUGAUGAUUCUAAGGUUGAAGCAAUCCAAGAAUGGCCAACUCCUAAGACCAUUUCUGAGGUAAGAAGCUUUCAUGGCCUUGCAACUUUCUAUAGGCGAUUUGUUAAGAAUUUCAGCACUAUCAUGGCACUAAUUACCGAGUGUUUGAAGAAAGGAAAGUUCCAAUGGGCAGAAGCAACUGAAGCUAGCUUCAAUGAGAUUAAACAAAAGCUAUCACAAGCUCCUGUCUUGGUACUACCUGAUUUCAACAAGACUUUUGAGUUGGACUAUGAUGCAAGUGGAGUAGGCAUUGGAGCUGUCCUAUCUCAAGAAAGGAAGCCCAUUGCUUUCUUUAGUGAGAAGUUAAGUGAAGCUAGACAGAAAUGGAGUACCUAUCAGCAAGAAUUAUACGCCUUUUUCAUAGCGUUGAAAACUUGGGAAGUCUAUUUGUUGCCUAAAGAGUUCAUUGUUUAUAGCGACCAUCAAUCCUUGAAGCAUUUUAGAAAUCAAAAGCAUGUUGACCGCAUGCCAGCAAGAUGGGCAGCAUAUCUGGAGAGGUUUAACUAUCUCAUCGUGCAUAAAUCCGGAAUAACUAACAGAGUGGCCGAUGCUUUGAGUCGUCGUGCAUGCCUCUUGACUUCUUUUGAAGCUGAACUUCCAGGCAUGGAUAAAAUAAAGAAGUUGUAUGAGGGUGAUGAAGACUUUGGCCAUGUUUGGGUAAAGCAUGCAAGGGGCCAACCAUUAGGUGAUGACUAUUUGAUGCAAGAUGGAUAUCUCUUAAAAAAUGAUCGUUUGUGCAUUCCAAGAAGUUCUCUACGUGACAAGCUGGUUAGAGAGCUCCAUUCAAGUGAUCUUGGUGGCCAUGUUGGACGGGACAAGACUAUCGCUAGCCUGUAA